GGAGGAGAUGUAGAGGUAGAGGAGGAGAUAUAGAGGAGGAGAUAUAGAGGAGGAGAUAUAGAGGAGGAGAUGUAGAGGAGGAGAUGUAGAGGAGGAGAUAUAGAGGAGGAGAUAUUGAGGAGGAGAUAUAGAGGAAGAGAUAUAAAGGUAGAGGGGGAGAAAUAGAGGAGGAGAUAUAGAGGAGGAGAUGUAGAGGUAGAGGAGGAGAUAUAGAGGUAGAGGAGGAGAUGUAGAGGUAGAGGAGGAGAUAUAGUGGUGGAGAUAUAGAGGUAGAGAUAUAGAGUAGGAGAUAUAGAGGAGGAGAUAUAGAGGUGGAUUAGGAGAUGUAGAGGAGGAGAUAUAGAGGAGGAGAUGUAGAGGAGGAGAUGUAGAGGAGGAGAUGUAGAGGAGGAGAUGUAGAGGAGGAGAUAUAGAGGAGGAGAUAUAGAGGAGGAGAUGUAGAGAAGGAGAUGUAGAGGAGGAGAUGUAGAGGUAGAGGAGGAGAUAUAGAGGUGGAGGAGGAGAUAUAGAGGAGGAGAUGUAGAGGUAGAGGAGGAGAUGUAGUGGUAGAGGAGGAUAUAUAGAGGUGGAGGAGGAGAUGUGGAGGAGGAGAUAUUGAGGAGGAGGAGGAGAUGCAGAGGUAGAGGAGG
This 629-nucleotide long non-coding RNA is filed under the name Salmo salar (Atlantic salmon). Its description in RNAcentral is "lncRNA (ENSSSAG00000102317.1)". The record is from RNAcentral. Lineage: Eukaryota; Metazoa; Chordata; Actinopteri; Salmoniformes; Salmonidae.